GCAUGCCUUAACAUGCAAGUCGAACGGUAGAGUAGCAAUACUCGAGAGUGGCGAACGGGUGAGUAAUAUAUCGGAACGUGCCCAGUCGUGGGGGAUAACGUAGAGAAAUUUACGCUAAUACCGCAUACGAUCUAAGGAUGAAAGCGGGGGACUUCGCAAGAGGCCUCGCGCGAUUGGAGCGGCUGAUAUCAGAUUAGGUUGUUGGUGAGGUAAAAGCUCACCAAGCCGACGAUCUGUAGCUGGUUUGAGAGAACGACCAGCCACACUGGGACUGAGACACGGCCCAGACUCCUACGGGAGGCAGCAGUGGGGAAUUUUGGACAAUGGGCGAAAGCCUGAUCCAGCAAUGCCGCGCGUGGGAAGAAGGCCUUCGGGUUGUAAACCACUUUUGUACGGAACGAAACGGCUCGCCUUAAUACGGCGGGCUAAUGACGGUACCGUAAGAAUAAGCACCGGCUAACUACGUGCCAGCAGCCGCGGUAAUACGUAGGGUGCGAGCGUUAAUCGGAAUUACUGGGCGUAAAGCGUGCGCAGGCGGUUAUAUAAGACAGUUGUGAAAUCCCCGGGCUCAACCUGGGAAUUGCAUCUGUGACUGUAUAGCUAGAGUACGGUAGAGGGGGAUGGAAUUCCGCGUGUAGCAGUGAAAUGCGUAGAUAUGCGGAGGAACACCGAUGGCGAAGGCAAUCCCCUGGACCUGUACUGACGCUCAUGCACGAA
This 717-nucleotide ribosomal RNA is filed under the name uncultured bacterium. RNAcentral's name for it is "bacterial SSU rRNA". It matches the Rfam family "Bacterial small subunit ribosomal RNA", at positions 42 to 757 of the family's 1533-position model. The record is from RNAcentral.